CGGCAACGGCCAUUAGCUAUGGCGGUUUAUUCCUCUCUCUCGCCUUCUCCUUCGCUCUCAUGUCCUUAUCCCUUCGCUUUCUCCCCAACGCGUCACUCGGUCGCACAAACCAAUGUGAUGCUUCGGAGCUUCUCUGCUGUAAGACAGAGACCAGUGCGCGCGAAAGCUUUCUCCGUCAACGCGACAUGGGAAGGUCUCGACUCCGUCAACAUCGCCGAUAACGUAACCCAGUUGAUUGGAAGAACGCCCAUGAUAUAUCUCAACAAAGUAACAGAAGGCUGCGUGGCAAAUGUUGCUGCAAAACUUGAAUCAAUGGAACCAUGCCGAAGUGUCAAAGACAGGAUUGGUUUCAGUAUGAUAUCCAGUGCCGAGGAGAGUGGUGCAAUUUCUCCAGGUAAGACCAUACUAGUUGAACCAACAACGGGGAAUACGGGGCUUGGCAUAGCUUUCGUUGCUGCAACAAAAGGGUACAAACUUGUAGUUACCAUGCCUGCUUCCAUAAAUAUGGAAAGGAGGAUCCUACUACGUGCUUUUGGUGCAGAGAUUGUUUUGACAGACCCAGAGAAAGGCCUCCAAGGGGCUGUAGCCAAAGCUGAAGAAAUUCUAAUUAGUACUCCCAAUGCCUUCAUGCUUCAGCAGUUUGAUAACAUUUCAAACACGAAGGUCCACUUUGAAACCACAGGACCUGAGAUAUGGGAGGAUACCAUGGGUAGUGUUGACAUACUUGUUGCUGGAAUUGGAACUGGUGGUACCAUAACAGGCACUGGUCGUUACCUAAAUAUGAGAAAAGAAACGAUUCAGAUAGUUGGUGUGGAACCUGCAGAAAGAAGUGUAAUCUCUGGAGAAAAUGCCGGUUAUGUACCCCCUAUUCUGGAUGUCAAGUUGCUUGAUGAAGUGAUCAAGGUAACCAAUGUUGAAGCUAUAGAAAUGGCUAGGAGGUUAGCAUUGGAGGAAGGCCUACUGGUUGGCAUUUCAUCAGGAGCUGCUGCAGUAGCAGCGAUUAGUCUGGCUAGGAGGCCUGAAAAUGCUGGAAACCUUAUUGUGGUUAUAUUUCCAAGCUAUGGUGAGAGAUACAUAUCCUCGGUGCUUUUUCGUUCUAUUUAUGAAGAAGUUCAGAGAAUGUAGACGAGAUAGGAGUUGCCCAAGUUUGUUAUACUUUGAAGACGAUUCAUUCAUAAAUCAACAACGAUAAUGUACAACAAUUUAUCAAGGCACAAGAAUCAGAAAGUCGAGCGUAAUUGCAUCUAUAUUAGUCUUCAUCUAAAUUUAGUUAAGGCUGAUGCAAGGAAAACUUCGGUUUGCUUGUGAGAGACAAAACAGACACAAAUCUCAAGAACUUCAUCGAAUUUGCGUUACUUUACUUGCAAUAGUUGAUUGGUUAGCUCUCUUAUAAAUAGUUUGUCUAUUCCUUUUCAUUUCAACACAAACUAAAUAUUUCACAGGUCUAAAUGUUUACGAUGUCAAUAGUAAUUCUUGAACUCGUCUACAUCGAAAUUGAACCAUU
Molecule: non-coding RNA, 1504 nt
Organism: Cucurbita pepo subsp. pepo (vegetable marrow)
Lineage: Eukaryota; Viridiplantae; Streptophyta; Magnoliopsida; Cucurbitales; Cucurbitaceae
Source: RefSeq, a predicted model, not a curated record